Molecule: long non-coding RNA, 1112 nt
Organism: Caretta caretta (loggerhead turtle)
Lineage: Eukaryota; Metazoa; Chordata; Testudines; Cheloniidae
Source: RefSeq, a predicted model, not a curated record
ACCUCUCUCAGGCAUGGCAGAACAGAACCACCUUGACAUCUGGGGACCAAUUCAAGCACUUCUCACCCUGGAAACAGAAGAAAUCUUUCAUUAAGGAGUUUGCUGCUGUUAAUCAUCUUUUUACUAUAAAAACCUAUCUGUUCAAACCCCAGGAGGUCUCCUGACCUCCAGCAAUUGUUAAGCACUACCUGCUGCCAUUGAAGACUUGAGCGGUUCCCCGUCCACAACCAAGGGAUGCAGGCGCCAGAGGAAGAGAAAGAAGAGGACUCAGGCUGAUAUGUUCAUUCAGAUCCUGCAAGCCAGUGCUGUAUCAGACCACGAGCUAAGGGCCUGGAGCAUGAAGAGGAGGCCUGUAUAGAGAGGGAAAGAGCAGACAGGAGAAAGUCCCAGCAGGAAAAGGAGAGAGGGAGAUGCACCAGGACAUAAUGGGGCUUCUCUGGCAGCAAACACAGAUACUGCAGACUCUUGUGGACCUACAGAUUCAGCAAUCCCAAAUUCACCUUCCCUUGCAGUCCAGAGAGAACUCCAGUAUAGCACUCACCUCCUCAACUUUCCAUGUGGCACCAGGGGCUAUAUCCUUAUCCCUACCUGUUCAUAAUGUGGGACAUUAAAGACAAACACAGCUUCACCUACAUACACAUCAACCAUGGCUCUCAUAGGGCAAUGUAUCUAAAAUGGAUAUGAAUAUUCCUUCCUCUUCUUUACACUCUGUUCCACUCAGUUUGCUUUUAAGUUCCACAGAAUUUUUUGAUGUGUUUUUGUUAGUCAAUAACACUGUUGUUUGGAAAAUAAUAGCUCCCACCCUGCAUAAUGCCUGGCGGUAGCGAAAGCACCCACUUACUUGAUAUUGUACUCUGUGACACAACUCGUAGGAUCAGUGACAAACACAGUAUAAUAAUCAUAAAUGUACAGCAAGCAUCACAGUGUUACUAGGUGCAUUGUCAGUGUUAUAUUCAUAGAUGUGCACCAACACAGGCCCCCAAACUGCAGGACCAGGCAGAGCACAAUACAUUACAAUGCAUUACUGUGGCUUGCUGUUAAAGGCUCUUUCAAAGUCUCCCUGAGCUAUGUAGUUCCAUAUUGAACUCUUCUGAUAGCCCCCGUGUCUCAUU